UACUUGUACCGACUGGAUGAGCAGCGAACGGGUGAGUAACGCGUGGGGAAUCUGCCUUUGAGCGGGGGACAACAUUUGGAAACGAAUGCUAAUACCGCAUAAAAACUUUAAACACAAGUUUUAAGUUUGAAAGAUGCAAUUGCAUCACUCAAAGAUGAUCCCGCGUUGUAUUAGCUAGUUGGUGAGGUAAAGGCUCACCAAGGCGAUGAUACAUAGCCGACCUGAGAGGGUGAUCGGCCACAUUGGGACUGAGACACGGCCCAAACUCCUACGGGAGGCAGCAGUAGGGAAUCUUCGGCAAUGGACGAAAGUCUGACCGAGCAACGCCGCGUGAGUGAAGAAGGUUUUCGGAUCGUAAAACUCUGUUGGUAGAGAAGAACGUUGGUGAGAGUGGAAAGCUCAUCAAGUGACGGUAACUACCCAGAAAGGGACGGCUAACUACGUGCCAGCAGCCGCGGUAAUACGUAGGUCCCGAGCGUUGUCCGGAUUUAUUGGGCGUAAAGCGAGCGCAGGUGGUUUAUUAAGUCUGGUGUAAAAGGCAGUGGCUCAACCAUUGUAUGCAUUGGAAACUGGUAGACUUGAGUGCAGGAGAGGAGAGUGGAAUUCCAUGGGUAAACGGGUGUGUGA
This 627-nucleotide ribosomal RNA is filed under the name Lactococcus lactis. RNAcentral describes it as "bacterial SSU rRNA". It matches the Rfam family "Bacterial small subunit ribosomal RNA", at positions 77 to 690 of the family's 1533-position model. The record is from RNAcentral. Lineage: Bacteria; Bacillati; Bacillota; Bacilli; Lactobacillales; Streptococcaceae.